AUUGAACGCUGGCGGCAGGCUUAACACAUGCAAGUCGAGCGAGCGGCGGACGGGUGAGGAAUGUCUGGGAAACUGCCUGAUGGAGGGGGAUCACUACUGGAAACGGUAGCUAAUACCGCAUACCCUCAUGUGUGCCCAGAUGGGCUUAGCUAGUAGGUGUGGUAAUGGCUAACCUAGGCGACGAUCCCUAGCUGGUAGGAGAGGAUGACCAGCCACACUGGAACUGAGACACGGUCCAGACUCCUACGGGAGGCAGCAUUGGGGAAUAUUGCACAAUGGGCGCAAGCCUGAUGCAGCCAUGCCGCGGGUGUGAAGAAGGCCUUCGGGUUGUAAAGCACUUUCAGCGAGGAGGCGUUACUCGCAGAAGAAGCACCGGCUAACUCCGUGCCAGCAGCCGCGGUAAUUC
Molecule: ribosomal RNA, 406 nt
Filed under: uncultured bacterium
Lineage: Bacteria
Description: partial 16S ribosomal RNA
Rfam family: Bacterial small subunit ribosomal RNA
Source: RNAcentral